GCAGACUGCCUAUCGAGCAGCAGUACGGAAUCUACGCAUGACGAAGUCGACGAGCAUCCCCGUGAGUGAUGAAGGCUUUCGAUCGUAAACUCGUGUAGGAGGACCAAGUGCUAGUGAUAGCUGCACUGACGUACUACAGAAAGCACGCUACUACGUGCAGCAGCCGCGUAUACGUAGUGCAAGCGUAUCCGGAAUAUGGCGUAAAGCCGCGGCCAGGUGGUUUUUUAGUCUGAUGGGAAAGCCCCCGCUCACCCGGGGAAGGGUCAUGAAACUGGGGGGACUGAGGGCAGGAGGAGGAAGUGGAUUUCCUGGGUAGCCGGUGAAAAUGGGUAGAGAAAGGGGGGACCACCAGGGGCGGAGGCGGACUUUUUGGUUUGGUAAUGGCCACGGGGCGGGGAAGGGGGGGGGACCAACCGGAUUAGGAUCCCUUGUUAUUCACCCCGUUAACGGGGAGUUGUUAGGGGUUGAGGGUUUUCCCCCUUUAAGUGUGAAAGUAAAGCCAUAAAGCACUCCCCUGGGGAAGUCGGGCGCCAAGGUCAAAAUUAAAGGGAAUGGAGGGGGGCCCCCCAAACCGGGGGACCACGGGUUUUAUUUGGAACCACCGGGAGGACCUUUCCCGGUUCUGGCCUUCUUUGGCCACCCGAGGGAUUAGGGUUUUUCUUUGGGAACCAAAGGACCAGUGGGGCCAGGUUGUUGUUCAGUUGGGUUGUGAGAAGGUGGGGUAAAUUCCGCCAAGGAGGCCACCCCUGGUUUUUGGUCCCCUCCUUUAAUUGGGCCCUUUUAGGGGGCCGCCGGGGGCCAACCGGGAGGAGGGGGGGGAGGCGUUCAAUUCUCCAUCCCCUUUAGGCCUGGGGUUCCCCCCGGGUUCCAAGGGMGGGUCCAAGGAGUGCCAGGCCCCGGAGGGGAAGUUAUUUUCUUAAACCCUUUUCCAUUUGGGAUGUUGGGUGCCAAUUGCCUUCCAGGAAGCGGGAUUCGUUGGUAUUCGGGAUUCACCAGCCGCGGGGGAAUCGUUUCCCGGCCUUGGUCCCCCCCCCCGGCCCCCCCCGGGGAGUUGUAACCCCCGAAAUUGGGGGUAACCCUUUCGAGCCAGCCAGCGUAAG
RNAcentral lists this ribosomal RNA (1100 nucleotides) under Bacillus anthracis (anthrax bacterium). Its description in RNAcentral is "partial 16S ribosomal RNA". It matches the Rfam family "Bacterial small subunit ribosomal RNA", at positions 331 to 1462 of the family's 1533-position model. The record is from RNAcentral. Lineage: Bacteria; Bacillati; Bacillota; Bacilli; Caryophanales; Bacillaceae.